RNAcentral lists this ribosomal RNA (747 nucleotides) under uncultured Fusobacterium sp. Its description in RNAcentral is "bacterial SSU rRNA". It matches the Rfam family "Bacterial small subunit ribosomal RNA", at positions 83 to 847 of the family's 1533-position model. Lineage: Bacteria; Fusobacteriati; Fusobacteriota; Fusobacteriia; Fusobacteriales; Fusobacteriaceae. The record is from RNAcentral.
ACUUCGGUUUGGGUGGCGGACGGGUGAGUAACGCGUAAAGAACUUGCCUCACAGUUAGGGACAACAUUUGGAAACGAAUGCUAAUACCUGAUAUUAUGAUUUUAGGGCAUCCUAAGAUUAUGAAAGCUAUAUGUGCUGUGAGAGAGCUUUGCGUCCCAUUAGCUAGUUGGAGAGGUAACGGCUCACCAAGGCGAUGAUGGGUAGCCGGCCUGAGAGGGUGAACGGCCACAAGGGGACUGAGACACGGCCCUUACUCCUACGGGAGGCAGCAGUGGGGAAUAUUGGACAAUGGACCAAAAGUCUGAUCCAGCAAUUCUGUGUGCACGAUGACGUUUUUCGGAAUGUAAAGUGCUUUCAGUUGGGAAGAAAAAAAUGACGGUACCAACAGAAGAAGUGACGGCUAAAUACGUGCCAGCAGCCGCGGUAAUACGUAUGUCACAAGCGUUAUCCGGAUUUAUUGGGCGUAAAGCGCGUCUAGGUGGUUAUGUAAGUCUGAUGUGAAAAUGCAGAGCUCAACUCUGUAUUGCGUUGGAAACUGCAUGACUAGAGUACUGGAGAGGUAAGCGGAACUACAAGUGUAGAGGUGAAAUUCGUAGAUAUUUGUGGGAAUGCCGAUGGGGAAGCCAGCUUACUGGACAGAUACUGACGCUAAAGCGCGAAAGCGUGGGUAGCAAACAGGAUUAGAUACCCUGGUAGUCCACGCCGUAAACGAUGAUUACUAGGUGUUGGGGGUCGAACCUCAGCGCC